GGAGGGUGUAGCUUAGUGGUAGAGUGCAUGCUUAGCAUGCAUGAGGUCCUGGGUUCAAUCCCCAGCAUCUCCA
RNAcentral lists this transfer RNA (73 nucleotides) under Vicugna pacos (alpaca). RNAcentral's name for it is "tRNA-Ala (AGC) (tRNA-Ala-AGC-130-1)". It matches the Rfam family "tRNA". From Rfam's summary of the family: Transfer RNA (tRNA) molecules are approximately 80 nucleotides in length. Their secondary structure includes four short double-helical elements and three loops (D, anti-codon, and T loops). The record is from RNAcentral. Lineage: Eukaryota; Metazoa; Chordata; Mammalia; Artiodactyla; Camelidae.